GAUGAACGCUGGCGGCGUGCCUAAUACAUGCAAGUCGAGCGAACAGACGAGGAGCUUGCUCCUCUGACGUUAGCGGCGGACGGGUGAGUAACACGUGGAUAACCUACCUAUAAGACUGGGAUAACUUCGGGAAACCGGUGCUAAUACCGGAUAAUAUAUUGAACCGCAUGGUUCAAUAGUGAAAUACGGUUUUGCUGUCACUUAUAGAUGGAUCCGCGCCGCUUUGGCUAGUUGGUAAGGUAACGGCUUACCAAGGCAACGAUGCGUAGCCGACCUGAGAGGGUGGUAGGCCACACGGGAAGGGAGACACGGUCCAGACUCCUACGGGAGGCAGCAGUAGGGAAUCUUCCGCAAAGGGCGAAAGCUUGACGGAGCAAGGCCGCGUGAGUGAUGAAGGUCUUCGGAUCGGAAAACUGUGUUAUGAGGGAAGAACAAAUGUGUAAGUAACUAUGCACGUAUUGACGGUACCUAAUCAGAAAGCCACGGCUAACUACGUG
RNAcentral lists this ribosomal RNA (497 nucleotides) under uncultured bacterium. Its description in RNAcentral is "partial 16S ribosomal RNA". It matches the Rfam family "Bacterial small subunit ribosomal RNA", at positions 28 to 507 of the family's 1533-position model. The record is from RNAcentral.